UACGUAGGGGGCAAGCGUUUGUCCGGAAUCAUUGGGCGUAAAGAGCGUGUAGGCGGCCCGGUAAGUCCGCCGUGAAAGUCCAGGGCUCAACCCUGGAAUGCCGGUGGAAACUGCCGGGCUGGAGUCCGGAAGAGGCGAGUGGAAUUCCUGGUGUAGCGGUGAAAUGCGCAGAUAUCAGGAGGAACACCGGUGGCGAAGGCGGGUCUCUGGGCCGAUACUGACGCUGAGGAGCGAAAGCGUGGGGAGCGAACAGG
This 254-nucleotide ribosomal RNA is filed under the name uncultured bacterium. Its description in RNAcentral is "partial 16S ribosomal RNA". It matches the Rfam family "Bacterial small subunit ribosomal RNA", at positions 524 to 776 of the family's 1533-position model. The record is from RNAcentral.